AGAGUUUGAUCCUGGCUCAGAACGAACGCUGGCGGCAGGCCUAACACAUGCAAGUCGAACGUGAAAGUCCUUCGGGAUGAGUAAAGUGGCGCACGGGUGAGUAACACGUGGGAACGUGCCCUUGGGUACGGAAUAACAGCGGGAAACUGCUGCUAAUACCGUAUGAUGUCUUCGGACCAAAGAUUUAUCGCCCAAGGAGCGGCCCGCGCCUGAUUAGCUAGUUGGUGAGGUAAUGGCUCACCAAGGCAACGAUCAGUAGCUGGUCUGAGAGGAUGAUCAGCCACACUGGGAUUGAGACACGGCCCAGACUCCUACGGGAGGCAGCAGUGGGGAAUAUUGGACAAUGGGCGAAAGCCUGAUCCAGCCAUGCCGCGUGAGUGAAGAAGGCCUUAGGGUUGUAAAGCUCUUUCGGGUGGGAAGAUGAUGACGGUACCACCAAAAGAAGCCCCGGCUAACUUCGUGCCAGCAGCCGCGGUAAUACGAAGGGGGCAAGCGUUGUUCGGAAUCACUGGGCGUAAAGCGUGCGCAGGCGGGUCAUUAAGUCAGAGGUGAAAUCCCAGGGCUCAACCUUGGAAUUGCCUUUGAUACUGGUGGCCUAGAGUUCGUGAGAGGGGUGUGGAAUUCCUAGUGUAGCGGUGAAAUGCGUAGAUAUUAGGAGGAACACCAGUGGCGAAGGCGACACCCUGGCGCGAUACUGACGCUCAUGCACGAAAGCGUGGGGAGCAAACAGGAUUAGAUACCCUGGUAGUCCACGCCGUAAACGAUGAGAGCUAGGUGUCGGAACCUUUCGGUUUCGGUGCCGCAGCUAACGCAUUAAGCUCUCCGCCUGGGGAGUACGGUCGCAAGAUUAAAACUCAAAGGAAUUGACGGGGACCCGCACAAGCGGUGGAGCAUGUGGUUUAAUUCGAGGCAACGCGAAGAACCUUACCAGGCCUUGACAUCCCGGUCAUAGUUUCCCGAAAAGGAAGCGUCAGUUAGGCUGGACCGGUGACAGGUGCUGCAUGGCUGUCGUCAGCUCGUGUCGUGAGAUGUUGGGUUAAGUCCCGCAACGAGCGCAACCCUCGCCCUUAGUUGCCAGCACGUUAUGGUGGGAACUCUAAGGGAACCGCCGGCGUUAAGCCGGAGGAAGGUGGGGAUGACGUCAAGUCUUCAUGGCCCUUACGGCCUGGGCUACACACGUGCUACAAUGGCGGUGACAGAGGGACGCUACUCCGUGAGGAGAUGCCAAUCUCAAAAAGCCGUCUCAGUUCGGAUUGCAGGCUGCAACUCGCCUGCAUGAAGUCGGAAUCGCUAGUAAUCGUGGAUCAGCACGCCACGGUGAAUACGUUCCCGGGUCUUGUACACACCGCCCGUCACACCAUGGGAGUUGCUUUUACCCGAAGCUGGUGAGCUAACCGCAAGGAGGCAGCCAACCACGGUAGGGGUAGCGACUGGGGUGAAGUCGUAACAAGGUAACC
Molecule: ribosomal RNA, 1457 nt
Filed under: uncultured Hyphomicrobiales bacterium
Lineage: Bacteria; Pseudomonadati; Pseudomonadota; Alphaproteobacteria; Hyphomicrobiales
Description: bacterial SSU rRNA
Rfam family: Bacterial small subunit ribosomal RNA
Source: RNAcentral